Molecule: ribosomal RNA, 253 nt
Filed under: uncultured bacterium
Lineage: Bacteria
Description: partial 16S ribosomal RNA
Rfam family: Bacterial small subunit ribosomal RNA
Source: RNAcentral
UACGAAGGGUGCAAGCGUUACUCGGAAUCACUGGGCGUAAAGCGUGCGUAGGUGGUUUGUUAAGUCUGUUGUGAAAGCCCCGGGCUCAACCUGGGAAUGGCAAUGGAUACUGGCAAGCUAGAGUGCGGUAGAGGGUAGUGGAAUUCCCGGUGUAGCGGUGAAAUGCGUAGAGAUCGGGAGGAACACCAGUGGCGAAGGCGGCUACCUGGACCAGCACUGACACUGAGGCACGAAAGCGUGGGGAGCAAACAGG